UCUAUGUGUAGUUGCCUGUUAGCACUCGUUUAUAUAGCUUGACGUUUGUUCAGUGUUCUUUCUUUAAUAAAAUAAGUAUGUAGGCUUAACACGCUGCGCCUUGGUCUCCUCCUCCUCCUUACGACGGAUCAACCUAAGUAAUGAUGCGUGACCUGGAUGUCAAAGUCAUUGUCUACUCUCACUUUGGCAAGAUGAGCCCUUCUUCCAGAUGGGACUACAGCUGGCCUAUCACAGUAUGGCUCACCGGCUCAAUCUGCAGUGCGUUCCUGUAGCUCAGGCG
Oncorhynchus gorbuscha (pink salmon) is the source of this 280-nucleotide long non-coding RNA. RefSeq lists it as uncharacterized. The record is from RefSeq and is a predicted model, not a curated record. The transcript has 3 exons. Lineage: Eukaryota; Metazoa; Chordata; Actinopteri; Salmoniformes; Salmonidae.